AGUAAUGUAUGGGGAUCUGCCCGAUAGAGGGGGAUAACUACUGGAAACGGUGGCUAAUACCGCAUAAUGUCUACGGACCAAAGCAGGGGCUCUUCGGACCUGCACUAUCGGAUGAACCCAUAUGGGAUUAGCUAGUAGGUGGGGUAAAGGCUCACCUAGGCGACGAUCUCUAGCUGGUCUGAGAGGAUGAUCAGCCACACUGGGACUGAGACACGGCCCAG
Molecule: ribosomal RNA, 221 nt
Filed under: uncultured bacterium
Lineage: Bacteria
Description: partial 16S ribosomal RNA
Rfam family: Bacterial small subunit ribosomal RNA
Source: RNAcentral